UGCUCCAUCGUGUGGUGGUCCUCCGUCUUGCCCCUGCUCUGGUGAGUGGCGGAUCUUGCCGGCGGCGGCUGGCGGAUCUUGCCGGCGGCGCGCGGAGUCCUGCUACCGACCGUCCGGGCCGUCACGCCUGCUGCUUUUUCGGUUUGUGCGGCAUCGAGGCCUCAGCCGUAGCCGUCCUGCUGUCGGCGCGCUUGGGGCCUUCUGCCGCCCGGCCAUGCCGCCACGCUUGUUGCUGCUUUUGGGUCCUGCUGCCGCCUGUUCGUGCCACCGCGCCGGUCGCCACUUUGGUCGUUGGGUUGCUGAGUUUUCGACCGCGGCCCUGCUUGUGUCUGAUGGUGCUGUUGUGCCGGUUUGGUCGGAGUUCGCCCGCGAGGCGGCGGCUGGAUCACGGAGGCUCCCGCCUAGUUAUGCAAAAGAUAAUCAGAAGAAUUUCACUUUGUUUAAUCGCAGCUCAGUUUCAUAUUCGGAGGCUCAUGCGAGGUCAUUUGGGGUCCACGCGCGACAGUGCAGCAGACAGACAGGGGGUAUUGCCUUCUUUUCAGCACGAACGGCCACUUAGACUCAUUUGGCGACAUGAUGAUUCUAGACCUGCUGAUUGGUUGAUGUUUCGAAGGAGCACGACCGGCAUGCCUACUUUCAGCUUAAGCUCGUGGUUUGGGAUACCAGGGAACUUCAAGCUGUUUAGAAAUUCUGUAGGAUACAGCUGGUCCAUGCUGCUAUUGUUUGUAGAUGCUUUGCACACGGUGUCCGAGCUAUGGUAUGUCACUUCCUCGCCUUCUAUUUGCUUCAUUAUAUAUUCAUUUAUCUCCUCGACAGUUUCAUUCCUAGGGCAUAAUAUUGCUCUUUCUUCUAGGAAUUUUGGAUCUUUGUAGUUGGACAGUAAGUUUGGAUAUAUGAUGUUUACAAUUGUCUCUCUUGGGUCAUUUCCUUUCUCUAGAAGCAAGUCUCUGGGAAUUUGUAUUCACUCAUCUCCUUCAUCUGAUGUUGUUUUCCCAUAACCAAUAUUCAGUAUCCACUCAGCAAAUUCAUUUACUUCCUUAUGUUUUUCUGUGUCGUUAGGCAUACAGGUGAGUCGCAUGUUUUCUGUCAGUUUGAAUAUUUCGAAAUGGUUCCAUAGGUAUGAAUGUUUGACUGAUGCGCUGACUAUGUGUUCUCUUCUUCCUUUGGGGACCACCGGCAGGAUUUGUCGAAAGUCUCCUCCUAGCACAACAGUCAUCCCACCAAAUGGCUUUUCAUUGCUGUUCUGGUUGGUAAAUCUGAGUAUAUCCCUGAGACUUUUGUCUAGUGCCUCAAAGCAAUUCCUGUUUGCCAUUGGAGUUUGAUCCCAAAUAAUUACUGAGGUCUUCUUUAGCAGCUCUGCGAGAUGGGUUCUUUGUUUAAUUUCACAUGUGGAUUCGUCUGUUAUGUUAGUUGGAAUUCUGAAUCCGUAGUGUGUUGUUCUUCCGCCUGGUAUUAGUAGGGCAGCUAUAGCGCAUGAUGCCAUAGUAAGUACUAUCUUUCCUUCAGAUCGUAGCUUUGUUGUAACGGCUUUCCAUAGGUAUAUCUUACCUGUACCGCCGUGGCCUUCGACAAAUAUUUGUUUUCCAAAUCCAUUAUCUACCGACUCCAUUAUUGCAUCGUAUGCUUUUUUUUUGCUCAGGAUUUAUGUUUCUGAGUAUAGUUUGUAGUUCUUCUUUCAAACUGUCCCUGUCAUAGUUGAGCUUUUCAUUUAUCAAUCUGUUCCCAAGUUCCUGUAGCUCAUCUACAUUUGGCAAUUGUAUAUCUGGGUAAUUUUUUAGUGACCUUCCUAUUUGUUGCAUCAGCUUCUCUAUUUCAAUCAAAGUGUAUGCCUUUUUCUGAGAUGCAGUUAACUGCAGUGUUGGAAACUUCAGAAUUAUUCUUCUCUUGUGCUGGAUGUCUUCUGAUAGUGCCUCCCAGGUUGACUCCCAAAGCCUUUUUGGUUCAGUUACUUCACAAUGGCACAAAAUGGUUGUGAAUAGUUAUCGUAGUUGGGUUCCAGUAGCCCAGUUAGCUGCUUAGUUGACACACUCGAUCCAUUCAUUGUCGUCAUCAAAAAAACCCAUGGCCUGGCAUGCUGCUUUAAAAGUUGCAUGUACAACUCCAGCCACUGUUCUUAUGUCUUCAUAUGAUGUGCAUCCUUUGACAGUCUCAGUGGGAGUUUGAUACUAUGGAGAAUAUAUUAUAAUGGUACUGUAAGAAGGCAUAUAAGAUGAUAUUUAUUAGCACAUCCUAAUAUUUUCUAUACUUUGCGGUGGUGCCUUUUACUCAUAGCUUGCGUUGGAGUGUUCCUUUGAUCUUAUUGGUCACAUCUCUGACUGCUAUGUGUGCACACCUACACAACAACAAAAAUUAAUUUGUGGUAAAUAAUUAACUAUUGUAAUAAUUAAUAAAUGAUAAAAUGACAAUAUUGUAUAAAUUGUUAUAUACCUAAGAUUUAUAUCUUGCAGGAAUUUCUUCUAAUUCUUGAUGAUCUGUAAAGAGUUGGAGGAUCAUCUUCAUGCACGGGUAUGUUCUCGACCUUAUUCUUGCUUUUAGUAUUCUCCUCUGUUGGAAUGAUGUUGAUAUCACUGAUGCUCUGAGCAUUUUCCUAUUCUAAAUUAUUUGAUUACUCUUCUUGCUACAUAAGAAAAAGGCUUGUUAGUUUAAAUAUCAAUUGAAUUAAUAUAGAAGAAACAUGGGUAUGUUCUCGACCUUAUUGUUGCUUUCAAAAUUCUCCUCCGUUGGAAUGAUAUUCAUAUCACUAAUGCUCUGAGCAUUUCUUGUUCUAAACUAUUUGAUUUCUCUUCUUGCUACAUAAGAAAAAGACUUGUUAGUUUAAAUAUCUAUCGAAUCAAUAUAGAAGAAACAUGUGGUUGUUAUAGUACCAGAUCUGUCGUAGUUCCUGUGUCCAAUAUAGUUUUGUUGCCCCUCUUUUUUCUGUAGGAACAUUUCUUCAACUUUCUUGUUGGACUUCCUGUUUCUCUGUCACCAUUGUGUUUAACAAUUACAUCUAAUGGGACAGAGUUGAAUUCAAUGUUAUUUUCAGCAUUUUUUUUGAUGGAUCAGUUUUCAUAUCUCUGUUGCUUUCAGUAAUCUCCUCUUCUGAAAUAAUUUUGGUACCAGUGCUGCUAUGAGAAUUUUCCUGUUCUGAAGUACAUGUUUGUUGUUCUUGCUACAUAAGAGAAAAGCUUGUUAGUUUUAAUAUCAAUAUAAUCAAUAUAGAAGAUGAAACAUGUGGUUUUUGUAAUACCAGAUCAGUCAUAAUUUCUGUGUCCAUCACAAUUAUGUUGUCACUCUUUUUUCUAUAGGAAUUUUUCUUCAACUUUUGGGUUCGCCUUUUGGAACCUUUGACACCAUUCUUUAACACUUUAGACUCGCUUUGUUUCACUACUACAUCACGUUUUGGCCGCUUGGUUUUCCUGAGAAUAGAUUUCCUAUUGGUAUGGUCGUUGGUGAUAUCGCUGUUGCCAUCAACAUCUAUCUCUUUUGAAAUAGGUAGACUUUGCUGCAAUUAAAGAAACAGUUAGGACAUAUCUCAGUUAGUUAAUCAAAGUUAAAUAAUAUUUGAAAUUCAUUUGAUACCUGUUUAGUUGAAACUUCCAUGUUGACGGUAUUUUUUCUUCUUUUUCUUUUACCAUGAGCAAUUAUUUCUUCUGACCUAUUCAAACUUUUGUUAGCUCCUUUCAGUAUCUUAGUCUUUUUGGGUUUUUCUGGUACAUCACAUUUCCUCUGCUGAGUAUGAUUGUAAUCAACAUGGGCAUGUUCUUCUAGUCCUUGUGCUAUGUCUUUUGAUUUGGCACGACCUUUUUUAACUUUCUUCCUGGAAACUUUACGCCUUUUUUCUUUUUGUGUUGUUGCUAUGCAAUUUUCAUCCGAGUCAUCAACUACUAUCAAAGCUCCGUGUCUUCUUUUAUUGCUAAGGUUGUCUUUCCUUGAUGUUGGAGAAUUUUCUCUACAUCUAAUGUCUUCUCCACUAUCUUCCAAAACAUCAAAUUCAAUUGAUUCUGAUGUAUUUUUGCAAAGUGAAGCUUUCAUCUUACGUUCCUAUCAAAUGACAUUGUACAUGGUUAGGUAACUUAGCAUGAAAGGAGGAGAAAAACUAUUGUUUUCACAUUCCACAAAAUGACUUUACCUCCAGACCGGGAUCACUCCUAUGCUUCAACUUAAAAUUUCCAUUUAGAUAUUUUAAUUCUUCGACAUCAAUAUAUUUUUGAUGUGUAUCUUUGAUGGUGAGAUCCUACAAACAAAAUUAUAGGGGUAAUUUAUUUUGUACAAAAGAAUAAACUAAUUGUAGUAAUGAAAAUAACCUUACCUUCUCUGCUUGACGAUUUGAAUAUUGCAACUCUAGCUUCUCAUCUGGCUCAAAUGUUUUCUUCACCAGAUAGUACUCUUUCCCUUCAGUCAAAUUUUGCUCCUUCAGCAUGAAACGGAAGAUAAGUGUUUUCCUAUAUAGUUGUUGAAUAACUUUGGGGAUUUCUUCAGAUUUCCCAUUAAGUGAAUCUAGCAGAUCUGUGAUGGUCAUCUUGAGCAUUUUUUUAGCUUCAUCAUCAAAUAUACUACAGGUAGUGGUUGCUGUGUGGUCACUAAUUUGGAGUCGAAUCCAGUACCUAUUAUAGCAUGUUUGUAAGCGUAAAAUUGUAAAUAUAUAGGCAAUAUUUCAAAUAACUAUAUGAUUACCUA
Long non-coding RNA from Panicum virgatum (switchgrass), 4659 nucleotides. RefSeq lists it as uncharacterized. NCBI's taxonomy places the organism in Eukaryota, Viridiplantae, Streptophyta, Magnoliopsida, Poales, Poaceae. The record is from RefSeq and is a predicted model, not a curated record. The transcript is spliced from 3 exons.